Molecule: ribosomal RNA, 253 nt
Filed under: uncultured Lactobacillus sp.
Lineage: Bacteria; Bacillati; Bacillota; Bacilli; Lactobacillales; Lactobacillaceae
Description: partial 16S ribosomal RNA
Rfam family: Bacterial small subunit ribosomal RNA
Source: RNAcentral
UACGGAGGUGGCAAGCGUUGUCCGGAUUUAUUGGGCGUAAAGCGAGCGCAGGCGGAAAGUUAAGUCUGAUGUGAAAGCCCCCGGCUUAACCGAGGAAUUGCAUCGGAAACUGUGUUUCUUGAGUGCAGAAGAGGAGAGUGGAACUCCAUGUGUAGCGGUGGAAUGCGUAGAUAUCACGCAGAACCCCGAUUGCGAAGGCAGCAUACCGGCGCCCUACUGACGCUGAGGCACGAAAGUGCGGGUAUCGAACAGG